UACAGAGGGUGCGAGCGUUGUCCGGAAUCAUUGGGCGUAAAGAGCGUGUAGGCGGCCAAACAGGUCCACUGUGAAAACUCGAGGCUCAACCUCGAGAGGUCGGUGGAAACCGUCUGGCUAGAGUCCGGAAGAGGAGAGUGGAAUUCCCGGUGUAGCGGUGAAAUGCGCAGAUAUCGGGAAGAACACCCGUGGCGAAGGCGGCUCUCUGGGACGGUACUGACGCUGAGACGCGAAAGCGUGGGGAGCGAACAGG
RNAcentral lists this ribosomal RNA (253 nucleotides) under uncultured bacterium. Its description in RNAcentral is "partial 16S ribosomal RNA". It matches the Rfam family "Bacterial small subunit ribosomal RNA", at positions 524 to 776 of the family's 1533-position model. The record is from RNAcentral.